AUGAGGCUGCUGGGUCUUCUCCUGUGCCUGCUGACAGCCCCCCGAGGUGUCCUGUCCCAGGUGCAGCUGCAGGAGUCGGGCCCAGGACUGGUGAAGCCCUCACAGACCCUUUCUCUCACCUGCACCAUCUCUGGAUUGUCUCCAAGGAGCUAUGGUGUAUUUUGGAUCCGCCAGGCUCCUGGAAAGGGGCUAGAGUGGGUUGGGGUUCUGUGGAGUAGUGGAAAUACAGCCUAUAACGCUGCACUGAAAUCCCGCCUCAGCAUCACCAGCGACACGUCCAAGAGCCAAGUUUACUUAACACUGAACAGCCUGAGAGCUGAGGACACGGCCGUGUAUUACUGUCAGACCCCAGAGGAGGGGGUAGCACUGCUGCUGGCAGAGGACAUGUGCCAGGACUUGCUGUUUCUGGUGCCACAGGAAAUGACCUCAGCUCUGUCCCCAUAG
Myotis lucifugus (little brown bat) is the source of this 444-nucleotide non-coding RNA. The record is from the annotation of a RefSeq genome assembly. Lineage: Eukaryota; Metazoa; Chordata; Mammalia; Chiroptera; Vespertilionidae.